Molecule: ribosomal RNA, 468 nt
Filed under: uncultured bacterium
Lineage: Bacteria
Description: partial 16S ribosomal RNA
Rfam family: Bacterial small subunit ribosomal RNA
Source: RNAcentral
GACGAACGCUGGCGGCGUGCUUAACACAUGCAAGUCGAACGGAAAGGCCCUGCUUUUGUGGGGUGCUCGAGUGGCGAACGGGUGAGUAACACGUGAGUAACCUGCCCUUGACUUUGGGAUAACUUCAGGAAACUGGGGCUAAUACCGGAUAGGAGCUCCUGCUGCAUGGUGGGGGUUGGAAAGUUUCGGCGGUUGGGGAUGGACUCGCGGCUUAUCAGCUUGUUGGUGGGGUAGUGGCUUACCAAGGCUUUGAAGGGUAGCCGGCCUGGGAGGGUGACCGGCCACAUUGGGCCUGAGAUACGGCCCAGACUCCUACGGGAGGCAGCAGUGGGGAAUAUUGCACAAUGGGCGGAAGCCUGAUGCAGCAACGCCGCGUGCGGGAUGACGGCCUUCGGGUUGUAAACCGCUUUCGCCUGUGACGAAGCGUGAGUGACGGUAAUGGGUAAAGAAGCACCGGCUAACUACGUG